Molecule: RNA transcript, 747 nt
Organism: Eucalyptus grandis
Lineage: Eukaryota; Viridiplantae; Streptophyta; Magnoliopsida; Myrtales; Myrtaceae
Gene name: kinesin-like protein KIN-14B
Exons: 4
Source: RefSeq, a predicted model, not a curated record
GAACUUCUCUCCACUGUCAUUAUGGAUGGUUGGAUGGCUGGACUUGGCACUGCUGUGCCUCCCAACACAGAUGCUCUCGGUCAGCUUCUAUCAGAGUAUACCAAGAGAGUUUAUACUUCUCAAUUACAGCACCUGAAGGAUAUUGCUGGAACCCUGGGAACAGAAGAGGCAGAAGACUUGGCACAUGUAGCAAAGCUUCGUUCAGCUCUUGAAUCUGUUGAUCAUUAGAGAAGAAAGAUUUUGCAACAAAUGAGAAGUGAUGCGGUCCUAUUAACACUGGAAGGUGGUGGUUCAUCCAUUCGCAAUCCUUCCACUGCUGCUGCAGAUGCGAGAUUAGCAUCUCUUAUUUCUCUUGAUGGCAUAUUGAAGCAAGUCAAGGAUAUAACGAGACAAUCAUUUGUCAACACCUUGAGCAGAAGUAAGAAGGCAGCAAUGCUAGCAUCUCUGGAUGAACUGGCAGAGCGGAUGCCUUCUUUCCGUGACAUGGACCAUCCUUGUGCCCAGAAACAAAUCUUUGAUGCCCGUAGUGCUGUUGAGGUUUGUCAACCUUGAAAAAAAUCCUCAAUCCUGCAGAUUCUUUUUUCGGGUUACAGUGGAAUUCAUGUGCAUCUAUACCAUAUUGUAGAGAACCAUGCAGGAUCUCAUAGAAACCGACAAUCAUUGUCAGUUAUCAGUAAGUAAAAUGUUGGAUGAUUAGGGAAAUGUCCUAUAGAUCUGCAUAACAAUAACAGUAAAGUCUUUGGGCAA